ACACUUACCCGGCAGGGGAGAUACAUUGAUCACAAAAGCGGUUUUCCCAGAGUGAGGCUUGUCCACUGCACUCCGCACGUGCUGCAAUUUCCCCAAAUGUGGGAAACUCGACAGCGUAAUUUGUGGUAGAGGCGGUCUGCGUUCAUUCUCUCCCCUA
Molecule: small nuclear RNA, 157 nt
Filed under: Myotis brandtii (Brandt's bat)
Lineage: Eukaryota; Metazoa; Chordata; Mammalia; Chiroptera; Vespertilionidae
Description: U1 spliceosomal RNA
Rfam family: U1 spliceosomal RNA
About the family: U1 is a small nuclear RNA (snRNA) component of the spliceosome (involved in pre-mRNA splicing). Its 5' end forms complementary base pairs with the 5' splice junction, thus defining the 5' donor site of an intron.
Source: Rfam by way of RNAcentral